Molecule: ribosomal RNA, 836 nt
Filed under: Haptophyta environmental samples
Lineage: Eukaryota; Haptophyta
Description: bacterial SSU rRNA
Rfam family: Bacterial small subunit ribosomal RNA
Source: RNAcentral
GAGGAAUAUGCAUCGGCUAACUCCGUGCCAGCAGCCGCGGUAAUACGGGGGAUGCAAGCGUUAUCCGGAAUCAUUGGGCGUAAAGCGCCUGUAGGUUGUUUAAUAAGUCUGUUGUUAAAGACUAGGGCUUAACCCUAGAAAAGCAAUGGAAACUACUAGACUAGAGUAUGGCAGGGGUAGAGGGAAUUUCUAGUGUAACGGUGAAAUGCGUAGAUAUUAGAAAGAACACCGGUGGCGAAAGCGCUCUACUGGACCAUUACUGACACUCAGAGGCGAAAGCUAGGGUAGCAAAAGGGAUUAGAUACCCCUGUAGUCCUAGCCGUAAACGAUGGAUACUACAUGUUGUGUUUAUUUCACAGUAUGGUAGCUAACGCGUUAAGUAUCCCGCCUGGGGAGUACGCUCGCAAGGGUGAAACUCAAAGGAAUUGACGGGGGCCCGCACAAGCGGUGGAGCAUGUGGUUUAAUUCGAUGCAACGCGAAGAACCUUACCAGGGCUUGACAUACUGCGAAUCUUUCCGAAAGGAAAGAGUGCCUUCGGGAAUGCAGAUACAGGUGGUGCAUGGCUGUCGUCAGCUCGUGUCGUGAGAUGUUGGGUUAAGUCCCGCAACGAGCGCAACCCUUGUUUUUAGUUACCAAUUCGUUGGGUUUUCUAGAAAGACUGCCGGUGACAAACCGGAGGAAGGUGAGGAUGACGUCAAGUCAGCAUGCCCCUUAUGUCCUGGGCUACACACGUGCUACAAUGGUUAGGACAAAGAGUUGCGAGCUUGUGAAAGUCAGCUAAUCUCGUAAACCUAGCCCAAGUUCAGAUUGUAGGCUGCAACUCGCCUACAUGAAG